This is a long non-coding RNA of Felis catus (domestic cat), 1794 nucleotides long. RefSeq lists it as uncharacterized. The record is from RefSeq and is a predicted model, not a curated record. NCBI's taxonomy places the organism in Eukaryota, Metazoa, Chordata, Mammalia, Carnivora, Felidae. The transcript has 4 exons.
UGAAAUGAAGGCCUUUCCCCACACAGGGCAAUCAGUACUUCUAUGAGCUUGGUUUGAACCAGAUCUCUUAACACAGUUUAAGCAAGUGCUCUGGGGGACCGCCACUAACGUUUGGUCGGGUUUCAGUGCUCUUGUAACACACCAGAGCAACCAAACAAGUGUAACGAGGAGGAGUAAAUAGGACAACGCCAAAGUGCUCUCCGGAGAAAGACGCUCACGUAAAUGGAGAGUUACUCACUCUUACUGCGAUCUUGAGAUUGCAGUCUCAAGGUCCUUCCUGAACCUCUACUGUCGUUUCAAGCAGUUCUCCAUGUGGAGAGUCAUGGAUCCAAUCUGAUUAAACAUCCAAAGGAAGAGCUGUACCAUCUGGGAUACAUGGCCUCUUUUGUCAACGUUGCAGAAAGAUCAUCUUGGCUGUACACCAGACAAUGAAUAUGAAGGAUGUGGAACAAGUUUGGCAAUGGUGGGACAUGUUCAGAAGCUACUGUAGUAAUUCAACCUCUUAUGGCUUUUGUCCAAAGAGGAGCUCCAGGAAGAGACCAGAAGGAAGAAGAGUAAAUUGGAGAAGCAUCUUCCUUCUCCUUUUGAGACUGUAAUUGGUAGCUUUCCUCUGGCAGAGAACACAGCUUCUCUUGUGGACCCGCUUCCCACUCUCUCUCCUUUUGGCAUUCAUUACCACUUCCUCCCUUCUCCCCUUUUGCCUAGAAGUGACCCAGGUGGCACAGAAUGUUACUGUUCCCUGUGAUUUCCCUAAACUCUGUCCACAUAUUUGUAAUUAGUCUCUUUAGUAAAUUCUCAUUGAAUUAUUCUAAUGCAGGAGUGUCAUCUGCUACCUUUUGGGUUACUAGCUAAGACACAUAGACUAAGAGGUGAGAGGGAAGACAUAUUAGAAUAACGGAGAAGAUACAUUUAAUUUAUAGCAAGUUUAUUUAGUAUAGGGUCCUAGCCCAUUUCUAUAUAGAAAGUUAAUAGUUAACUUGAAGGCAAACAAGUUAGAGGUAAACAUCAUUCAGUAUGAGGUCAUAAAAGUGUUUCAGAUGCACAGUUUUGUUAGAUUUGAACCAACCUCCACUCUACUCUAAAGCCAGAAGAGCAGGUGAGAGAUCCCUUCCCAGACCUCUCUGCUUGAAAUGAGAGGAAGGCAGCAAGCGGGUUGAAAGAGACUACGAAGACCCCCAUAAAAAAGACCCCCUGUUUAAACGUUGCUCUCCUCUAAGUGGGUCUAUGUGAGCCCGAGCUGUGGUGCAUUGGCUUACCUCUCUCUGCAAUCUUAGGGAGUGUGAGGAUCAAACAGAAGUUUCCAUGCAUUUGCAAGUUGUCCUGUGGCUUUCCUUUUAGCAAGGCAAGUUUGGGGAUAAAAACAAAGAAAAUGUUCUGAGGUUAUGAUUAUUUACUUAUUUGUUCAUUUACUUAUUCAUGUGUUUAUGCAUUUGCUUAGGCAUUGAGGAACCAAACAUAAAUGAAGUUGCAUGCAGCAGUGACGCCCAUCCCCUCAAAGAUAAAGAGGGUGAUAAGGAUUUGUAUAGGGGUGGACAAGUCCAUUGUUUUCCUUCAAUAGUUGCAGCCAAUUUGUUUAGCUUGAUGGACAGGUACAAGGUGUUAACUCCCUGUCAUAUUUCCCCUGGUAGACAAAGAGGAAGCUUGACAAGUUGAUGAAUGAAAAAGGAGAGUUCUUGUGGAUAGUUAAGCAAGAAGAGAAUGAAUAAGACUAAUCUCAUGCCUAAAAACCAGGGCUAGGUUCAGCACUUCUAUCAUCCUCUAAGCUAACUUGUGCAAGAAAAAUGUUGAGGUAAA